GGAUUAAUGGCCGAGUGGUCUAAGGCGCUGUACUUGAAAUACAGUAACGUUCAUAGCGUUCAGAGGUUCGAAUCCUCUUUAAUCCG
Molecule: non-coding RNA, 86 nt
Organism: Vanrija pseudolonga
Lineage: Eukaryota; Fungi; Basidiomycota; Tremellomycetes; Trichosporonales; Trichosporonaceae
Source: the annotation of a RefSeq genome assembly